This 462-nucleotide ribosomal RNA is filed under the name uncultured bacterium. RNAcentral's name for it is "partial 16S ribosomal RNA". It matches the Rfam family "Bacterial small subunit ribosomal RNA", at positions 28 to 507 of the family's 1533-position model. The record is from RNAcentral.
GACGAACGCUGGCGGCGUGCUUAACACAUGCAAGUCGAGCGGUAAGGCCUUUCGGGGUACACGAGCGGCGAACGGGUGAGUAACACGUGGGUGAUCUGCCCUGCACUUCGGGAUAAGCCUGGGAAACUGGGUCUAAUACCGGAUAUGACCUCCUAUCGCAUGGUGGGUGGUGGAAAGAUUUAUCGGUGCAGGAUGGGCCCGCGGCCUAUCAGCUUGUUGGUGGGGUAAUGGCCUACCAAGGCGACGACGGGUAGCCGACCUGAGAGGGUGACCGGCCACACUGGGACUGAGAAACGGCGCAGAAUCCUACGGGAGGCAGCAGAGGGGAAUAUUGCAAAAUGGGAGAAAGCCUGAUGCAGCGACGCCGGGUGAGGGAUAAAGGCCUUCGGGUUGUAAACCUCUUUCAGCAGGGACGAAGCGCAAGUGACGGUACCUGCAGAAGAAGCACCGGCUAACUACGUG